AGGGCGGUGUAAAAAGAACCCGAGAGGACGUUCUCGCGAGAAUUCCGUUUCCCCUCGCGCGCAUGCGCGACGAGUGUAGUCUGCCGGGAUUCAGUAGUCCAAAAUGGCUGCUGCGAUGGACGUUGACGCUCCGAGCGGCACCAAUAGUGGCGCUGGCAAGAAGCGCUUUGAAGUGAAGAAGUGGAAUGCAGUUGCUCUCUGGGCUUGGGACAUCGUGGUUGACAACUGUGCCAUUUGUAGAAAUCACAUUAUGGAUCUGUGCAUAGAAUGUCAAGCUAACCAAGCAUCGGCUACCUCUGAAGAAUGCACUGUUGCGUGGGGUGUUUGUAAUCAUGCUUUCCACUUUCAUUGCAUCUCUCGUUGGCUUAAAACUCGACAGGUGUGCCCAUUAGACAACCGAGAAUGGGAGUUCCAAAAGUAUGGACACUAGCAGGAGAGAGAUGAUCGCCAAGUUUAUUUUGUCAUCAGUUAAGCCUUGCAUCUUGUGUCUGUCCCAUGCAGGACCUUCCUCUUCCCACUGGCCCAAUUCCAAGCCCUUACAAAACUUCUGGCAGGCCCGAUGUCAAACUGGUUGCAUGUAAUCUUACCGGUUGUUCCUGUAAGUUGCAGUAAACUGAGUCACCUGGUGAAAGAUUUAAAUGGUUUUAGUCUUCCUUGUAACUUUGAUUACACUCUGAAAAAUCAGUAUUCUGAUACAGUAUUAAAAAGUGAUGUUAACAGGAAUGGUGGAAAGGUCUGGAUGUUCAAAUGAAUAUUCCUGGAAUUUGCAUAAAGGUAUACCAAAAUCUAUGUAAUAUUAAACUGUUGCACAGAUUGCUGCUUGCUGUAAUCUCCCCUUUACUUGAGAAAAAUUUGAUUCUCAUGUAGCUGUGGUAAGAGAUGUCAUAGCUGCUGGCAUUUUAUCUGUCACUUUCUGCCUUCUCCCCCACCAAGAAAUUGUACUACAAGGUGAACAUGUUUCCUGAAAAGUAUUAUAGCUCUAUAUUGCUGGGAUUAGAGAAGCCCUUCAGGAAAAUUGUGAGAUCCAGUGAAUGGAAAAAAUCUUCAGAGACUAGGCUGUUUAAUAAAGUGUAGCUGGAGAUUAUGGGAAUUGUAGUUCAACAGUUGGAGGGCUAUGUUUGCCCACCCCGGCUUACACAACCCCUUGACAAUGCUAGAUUGUAUCUGGUAUGCCUGCUCUUUUAAAGUUCUUGAAGAAUACCCCAGAGGACACCUCAGAUUCCAACCCACAAGCUGAGACUGGGUUCCCCCGCUCUCCUGGCUCGGACUCUACCCUGGACUCUGUCCAGAUUCACAUACAUGUGGAAUCAAAGGACUUACAUACAUUGGCGAUGCCUUGCAGAUCGUGACUAGCUCAGAUGGACACUUGUUUUCUUAUGGCUGUUUUGACCUGCAUGUAUGUAUGUAACCUCCCGCUUCGGGAACAUGGUCUGUAACAUAUUUGCAUGCUAAAUGAACCAUGCCAGCACAGCGGCUGACCACGCCAGGAACUCGUGCUGACAACACCCCUGGAGGACCCCCUGGACCUGGAGAAGACCCUCCGCUGUCAAGGACCCACGCCCAGAGGCUGCAAUUGGCAGAAGGCUGGCACGGCCCUACCAGCCACAUACAAGGUGAGGCCAGGAUUGGACCCUCCCUUGGACCUUUUGGACAUUCCUCUCACUGAACCCUUUUAACUGGACUCUACCCAAACCCAUAGGAACUUGCAUACAGUGCUAUAUUCUCUCUACCGUUGCAACCACACAUUCUUUAGUACGCAGCCGUGUUUUAUUGGGAAAUUCUAUUCACUGUUGCUUUUGUAAACCAUAUGCUAAACAUUCUCUAAUAAAAGUCAAUCUGUUGUGACGACA
Molecule: RNA transcript, 1850 nt
Organism: Hemicordylus capensis (graceful crag lizard)
Lineage: Eukaryota; Metazoa; Chordata; Lepidosauria; Squamata; Cordylidae
Gene: RBX1
Gene name: ring-box 1
Exons: 6
Source: RefSeq, a predicted model, not a curated record